Molecule: ribosomal RNA, 499 nt
Filed under: uncultured bacterium
Lineage: Bacteria
Description: partial 16S ribosomal RNA
Rfam family: Bacterial small subunit ribosomal RNA
Source: RNAcentral
GACGAACGCUGGCGGCGUGCCUAAUACAUGCAAGUCGAGCGGACCGAACAGGAGCUUGCUCUUGUUCGGUUAGCGGCGGACGGGUGAGUAACACGUGGGUAACCUGCCCGUAAGACCGGGAUAACUCCGGGAAACCGGAGCUAAUACCGGAUAACACCGAAGACCGCAUGGUCUUUGGUUGAAAGGCGGCUUCGGCUGCCACUUACGGAUGGGCCCGCGGCGCAUUAGCUAGUUGGUGAGGGAACGGCUCACCAAGGCGACGAUGCGUAGCCGGCCUGAGAGGGUGGCCGGCCACCCUGGGACUGGGACACGGCCCAGACUCCUACGGGAGGCAGCAGUAGGGAAUCUUCCGCAAUGGACGAAAGUCUGACGGAGCGACGCCGCGUGAGCGAAGAAGGUCUUCGGAUCGUAAAGCUCUGUUGUUAGGGAAGAAGAAGCGUCGUUCGAACAGGGCGGCGCGGUGACGGUACCUAACGAGAAAGCCCCGGCUAACUACGUG